RNAcentral lists this transfer RNA (72 nucleotides) under Paramuricea clavata. It matches the Rfam family "tRNA". From Rfam's summary of the family: Transfer RNA (tRNA) molecules are approximately 80 nucleotides in length. Their secondary structure includes four short double-helical elements and three loops (D, anti-codon, and T loops). Lineage: Eukaryota; Metazoa; Cnidaria; Anthozoa; Malacalcyonacea; Plexauridae. The record is from Rfam by way of RNAcentral.
GCCUCAUUAGCAAAGGGGUAGAGCAGUAGUCUCGUAAACUGAGAGUUGUGAGUUCGAAUCUCUCAUGAGGUU